This 391-nucleotide ribosomal RNA is filed under the name uncultured Bacteroidales bacterium. RNAcentral's name for it is "bacterial SSU rRNA". It matches the Rfam family "Bacterial small subunit ribosomal RNA", at positions 22 to 404 of the family's 1533-position model. The record is from RNAcentral. Lineage: Bacteria; Pseudomonadati; Bacteroidota; Bacteroidia; Bacteroidales.
GCUCAGGAUGAACGCUAGCUACAGGCUUAACACAUGCAAGUCGAGGGGCAGCAUGAACUUAGCUUGCUAAGUUUGAUGGCGACCGGCGCACGGGUGAGUAACGCGUAUCCAACCUCCCGCUUACUCGGGAAUAGCCUUUCGAAAGAAAGAUUAAUACCCGAUGGUAUCUUAAGCGCACAUGCAAAUAAGAUUAAAGAUUUAUCGGUAAGCGAUGGGGAUGCGUUCCAUUAGAUAGUAGGCGGGGUAACGGCCCACCUAGUCGACGAUGGGUAGGGGUUCUGAGAGGAAGGUCCCCCACAUUGGAACUGAGACACGGUCCAAACUCCUACGGGAGGCAGCAGUGAGGAAUAUUGGUCAAUGGGCGCGAGCCUGAACCAGCCAAGUAGCGUGA